This 687-nucleotide ribosomal RNA is filed under the name uncultured Bacteroidales bacterium. Its description in RNAcentral is "bacterial SSU rRNA". It matches the Rfam family "Bacterial small subunit ribosomal RNA", at positions 63 to 747 of the family's 1533-position model. The record is from RNAcentral. Lineage: Bacteria; Pseudomonadati; Bacteroidota; Bacteroidia; Bacteroidales.
CAUGGUCUUAGUUUGCUAAGGCUGAUGGCGACCGGCGCACGGGUGAGUAACACGUAUCCAACCUGCCGUCUACCCUUGGCCAGCCUUCUGAAAGGAAGAUUAAUCCAGGAUGGGAUCAUGAGUUCACAUGUCCGCAUGAUUAAAGGUAUUUUCCGGUAGACGAUGGGGAUGCGUUCCAUUAGAUAGUAGGCGGGGUAACGGCCCACCUAGUCAACGAUGGAUAGGGGUUCUGAGAGGAAGGUCCCCCACAUUGGAACUGAGACACGGUCCAAACUCCUACGGGAGGCAGCAGUGAGGAAUAUUGGUCAAUGGGCGAUGGCCUGAACCAGCCAAGUAGCGUGAAGGAUGACUGCCCUAUGGGUUGUAAACUUCUUUUAUAAAGGAAUAAAGUCGGGUAUGCAUACCCGUUUGCAUGUACUUUAUGAAUAAGGAUCGGCUAACUCCGUGCCAGCAGCCGCGGUAAUACGGAGGAUCCGAGCGUUAUCCGGAUUUAUUGGGUUUAAAGGGAGCGUAGAUGGAUGUUUAAGUCAGUUGUGAAAGUUUGCGGCUCAACCGUAAAAUUGCAGUUGAUACUGGAUGUCUUGAGUGCAGUUGAGGCAGGCGGAAUUCGUGGUGUAGCGGUGAAAUGCUUAGAUAUCACGAAGAACUCCGAUUGCGAAGGCAGCCUGCUAAGCUGCAACUGACAUU